Molecule: ribosomal RNA, 861 nt
Filed under: uncultured Clostridia bacterium
Lineage: Bacteria; Bacillati; Bacillota; Clostridia
Description: bacterial SSU rRNA
Rfam family: Bacterial small subunit ribosomal RNA
Source: RNAcentral
AGGAUAAACGCUGGCGGCGUGCAUAACACAUGCAAGUCGAACGAUGAAACUUAGAUGAUUUCUUCGGAAUGAACUUAAGCGGAUUAGUGGCGAACGGGUGAGUAACACGUGAGUAACCUGCCUUACACAAGGGGAUAGCCUUUGGAAACGAAGAAUAAUACCCUAUAACGUCAAUUUAUCGCAUGAUAGAAUGACCAAAGAUUUAUCGGUGUAAGAUGGACUUGCGUCUGAUUAGCUAGUUGGUGAGAUAAAGGCCCACCAAGGCAACGAUCAGUAGCCGGCUUGAGAGAGUGUACGGCCACAUUGGGACUGAGACACGGCCCAAACUCCUACGGGAGGCAGCAGUGGGGAAUUUUGCACAAUGGGGGAAACCCUGAUGCAGCGACGCCGCGUGAUUUAGAAGGCCUUCGGGUUGUAAAAAUCUUUUUUAUGGGAUGAAAAUGACAGUACCAUAAGAAUAAGGUCCGGCUAAAUACGUGCCAGCAGCCGCGGUAAUACGUAUGGACCGAGCGUUGUCCGGAAUCAUUGGGCGUAAAGGGUACGUAGGCGGCCCAGUAAGUUAGAAGUGAAAUAAUAUAGCUCAACUAUAUAAAGCUUUUAAAACUGCUAGGCUUGAGAGAUGGAAGGGAAAGUGGAAUUCCUAGUGUAGCGGUGAAAUGCGCAGAUAUUAGGAAGAAUACCGGUGGCGAAGGCGACUUUCUGUCAUCAUCUGACGCUGAGGUACGAAAGCGUGGGUAGCAAACAGGAUUAGAUACCCUGGUAGUCCACGCUGUAAACGAUGAGUGUUAGGUUCUUGGAAUAAUCUGGGAGCCGCAGCUAACGCAUUAAACACUCCGCCUGGGGAGUACGCACGCAAGUGUG